This 420-nucleotide ribosomal RNA is filed under the name Fusobacteriota bacterium. RNAcentral's name for it is "Fusobacteria bacterium partial 16S ribosomal RNA". It matches the Rfam family "Bacterial small subunit ribosomal RNA", at positions 355 to 776 of the family's 1533-position model. Lineage: Bacteria; Fusobacteriati; Fusobacteriota. The record is from RNAcentral.
UGGGGGAUAUUGCACAAUGGGCGAAAGCCUGAUGCAGCGACGCCGCGUGGGGGAUGAAGGCCUUCGGGUUGUAAACUUCUUUUGCUCUGAACAAGGCAUGCCUUUGGGGUGUGUUGAGUGUAGGGGUUGAUUAGCGCCGGCUAACUACGUGCCAGCAGCCGCGGUAAUACGUAGGGCGCGAGCGUUGUCCGGAAUUAUUGGGCGUAAAGGGCUUGUAGGUGGCUGGUUGCGUCUGUCGUGAAAGCUCAUGGCUUAACUGUGGGUUUGCGGUGGGUACGGGCUGGCUUGAGUGCAGUAGGGGAGGCUGGAAUUCCUGGUGUAGCGGUGGAAUGCGCAGAUAUCAGGAGGAAUACCUGUGGCGAAGGCGGGUCUCUGGGCUGUUACUGACGCUGAGGAGCGAAAGCGUGGGGAGCGAACAGG